GAGAACUGUACUGAACGCUGGAUGAUUACCCUAGAGAGUCGUGUUGUUUGUGAGGGCAUACAACCAAGAUUCCUGACUGCAAUAGCAACCAUGUUUGCAAUGUUCUACGUCUUCAAUCUUAAGUAUCCAGAGGAGGCAUGUGGCACCUUGGAAUUCAUUCAAAGACGAUUCGUUGGGAUAAACCCUGAAAGAGGUACGAAGACCUGCAGAGGCAAGGUGGUUUCAAAGAAGACUGGAAAACUUGUCAGCAAGAAGUCUGCCACUGUCAAUCCCAAAGUUGCUUCUCUCCUGAAGAACCUCAUCGAUUUCGAAUGGAACUUCGUCUAGAUCGGGAUUUCCUCUCAGGCCAGAUGUGUCAAAAGCUGAGGUGGGACGUGUUGGCUGUUUUUUGCCUCUUCCUACAGUUUUUUCACCCAUUGGAUCUCUUGUCCUCUCAGGCCAGAUCUUUUGGCUGUUUUUUGCCUCUGUCAAGGAUUUUUCAUCCAUUGGUUCCUUAAUAUUUUCCUCUCAGACUCAGAAUUCCUCUCUUGCCUGGAUGCUGAUGUGACAUGUUGAAUGUAAGGUUUCUUUGUUUGCCUACUGUUUCCUCACAUUUUACAAUGUAUUUUCUGUGACUUUUUUUCCCUUAACUGUUAAUGUAUUGUUAAAAUUUGUUAGCUGUUUUAAAUAAAUGGCAAACAAUACUG
Molecule: long non-coding RNA, 686 nt
Organism: Xyrauchen texanus (razorback sucker)
Lineage: Eukaryota; Metazoa; Chordata; Actinopteri; Cypriniformes; Catostomidae
Exons: 3
Source: RefSeq, a predicted model, not a curated record